Chinchilla lanigera (long-tailed chinchilla) is the source of this 2241-nucleotide long non-coding RNA. RefSeq lists it as uncharacterized. The record is from RefSeq and is a predicted model, not a curated record. The transcript is spliced from 4 exons. NCBI's taxonomy places the organism in Eukaryota, Metazoa, Chordata, Mammalia, Rodentia, Chinchillidae.
UGAGGCCAACCUGGGUUACAUAGGGAGACUCUGUCUUUAAAAACAAAUUUAAAAAGUUGUCAACUUAACUUAUGCAAUAAUUAUCAUAGAUAGGAACUUUAUCCGGGCCACUGUAACAGCAGCUUAGUCUUCCUAAUUUUUCUCUCCACAUUUCAAGUUAUUCUCCACGUGGCAGCCAUUUUUAUUUUUCUAAAGCUGCCAUUUUCUAUCUCUAGUUAUUCCCAUGGUUCUGUACUGCUAUGGCUAAGGCUUUUCAUAUUUAUUAACAGUCACUGUCUGCAGCUUUGUCUCAGGAAUAGUAUAACAUAAUUAUUUGAGCACAGGGCAAAUGAGGUGCAUGUGUUUCUGACAAGUCCAGGAAGCUGCACCUAGCUGUUUGGAUCCAGACCCCUAUGCUGUGUUGGUGUCUCUGUCAUAGCUGUACAAUAGUUCAAAAUCUUGUCCGUUACUGAGUACUUUAUUUGACCAUUUCCUAGUAUUCUCUGUAAGGAAAGGCAGUGUCUAGGCAGGAGAAAGAUAGGGUUUGUUAAAAAUUAAUAGGGAAACUUAAUAAAAGCAGUUUCUGCCUCCACGGGUAGACUUGACAGAGAAAUUAGAAAGACAAAGGAGACAGAGAACUGGACUGAGAGAGGACCAGGUAAUACAAUUCCAAUUGUGAGAACAAUUUAUUAAGAAGAGUUAACAAAAAGCAAGGAAGCCAGAAACAUUAAAGACCAGGGAAAUCAGCUACCUUCAUCCAUCUGAUAAAAUACAAAGGAGAAAAGGGGCAGCCACCUGAGGACUCUUAUUUAGUAUGUAAUACAUGCAUACUUACCUGAGCACUCAGACACACACAUGUAUGCACAUGUAUGUAUGUUCUCACUUUUACAUGUUAUAUUAUUGCACCAGAUACACACAGGUUCUCUUUACCUAAUCAUUAAGUAUAAACUAACCUUCCUUAGCUCCUGUCCAUCUUAUCCAUCACAAAGGGACAGGAAGAAACCAAAACGCUAGAAAGAAGGUAGGCAGAGGUGCCCAGGUUAGGAUCAAAGGUAGCCAGAGAGCCAAUCAGAUGGUGACAACUUCCAGGUGCCCACAUGAGAGAUAAGAAAAUCACUAGUCCUAAAUAGAAGGUACCAGGGAUGAGAGCUCCUGGGUAUUCACCUCUGAGGCCCUUUACUCCCCCAGGGUAACUAUUUGUCUUCUUCUCUUCUUUUUCCAAAUAGACAUUUUCUCUUGUUUUACACUGUUCUGUAAUGAGCAGAAACUGGCAGUUUAUGAUCCUGGUAGUUGUGUGUUCCAGACAAGGAGUGGUGCAUACAUUCCAGCCUGCCGCAGCAGUCUCUAAACUUCAGUCCUCCAUCUUCAAUAAGAAGAUAAGUGGCUGGCCUUGAACUUGUGAUCUUCCUGCCUCAGCCUCCCUGAGUUCUGGGAUGACAAGCAUGGGUUACCACACCUGGUUAAGAGGUAUUGCGGGGAGCUAAUCCACAAGGCACCAGGAACCAUGCUAUUUGUGGGACUCAAUGGGAGGCUAGACAGCCUGAUCCACACUGCCAGGGAACCUGAGAUUUCACAGAGGAGGAAAGAAAAUUCAUCAAGGAAUUGCAGUUCAAGGUCAUCACUACUGCAGUAGAAGGUUACUGGUACAUAAAGAAAGGCUCAAGAAAUCUUCCCACAGGAGAGGUUUACUGUGCUCAAAUCUAAAAGAUAAGUUUGAGCUAGACAGAGAUUUGCAGGUAAGGAGACACAAGUAGAUGGCAAAUCUCAGGACUUUAAAGUGUAGUAUCACCAAGUAGAAUGCACAAAGGCUACUCUGUGCCUGAGAUAUGUGAAUCUUGUGACUGCAACAACUCCAUGCGGCAGACCCACUGCCAUCCUGGCAUCAGGAGGUAUGGGACUACCCGGUCUGAGGUUGUUGAGGUGGACUUCAUUGAGGUCAAGCCAACAACUAGAAAUCAAAAGGACCUGCUAGUCCUGAUUUGCACCUACUCAGGUUGGCUGGAGGCUGCCCGACUAGGACUGAAACUUUGAGAGAGUUAAGCACAGCUUAAAUGUGCCUUUUGACAAGAUUGUCAACAUUGCUCGACAGAUGCAACACCAGUCUUUAGCCAGAAAACUUUCCAGAAUCAUUAAAGAGAUCCUCGGGACUGCCUCGUCUCUGGGCUUCAGUGUUGCUGGUCAUUACCCUCAUGACAUCUUGCAUGACAGCAGUGGUGCGGUGGAAUGCCCAGCUACCUAAGAAGCAUAAGAAAAUAUUUAAAU